Molecule: ribosomal RNA, 499 nt
Filed under: uncultured eukaryote
Lineage: Eukaryota
Description: partial 18S ribosomal RNA
Rfam family: Eukaryotic small subunit ribosomal RNA
Source: RNAcentral
GAAAUGGCUACCACUUCCAAGGAAGGCAGCAGGCGCGUAAAAUUACCCAAUCCUAAAACAGGGAGGUAGUGACGAUAAAUAACAAUGAUUCAAUGAUAACAAAAGUUGAAUUAAUUGGAAUGAGAACAAUAUAAAUCCCUUAUCGAGUAACAAUUUCAGGGCAAGUUCUGGUGCCAGCAGCCGCGGUAAUUCCAGCUAGAAAAAGCGUAUACGAAUAUUGUUGCAGUUAAAACGCUCGUAGUUGGAAUAAAAAGAGAAAGAGAGAGAGAAAAACAAUGUUUUUCAAUUUUUUAUUUCUAUUUUUUAAUUUUAUAUAUCUCCUAAAAAAAGAUAUAUAGUAUUUACUUUGAAUAAAUUAGAGUGCUUUAAGCAGAUUGAGAUUUAAAUUUUAAAUCUUUUUUGACGUUUGAAUAAUUUAGCAUAGAAUAAAAUAAUAAGAUUUGAAAGAUAAGAUUUGGUAAUUAUGUAGCAAAUAAUGAUAAAUAGGAAUAGUUGGGGG